GAAAAAAUUUUCUAUAAUUUUUAUUUGUACGAUAUAUUAUACUGGGUAUCUUUUAUUGCAGUACAUUUAAAAAUAGUAAUGUAAAUCAUUAAAUAUAAUGUAAAUCAUCAAACAAGUGUUAAUCGACACGAUUCGCAGCUAACUCAAUAAUUUGUAAAACUUCAACAGCCACUUGGUGGCAACAAGCAUGACGUAUAUCCAUGACGACAAAAUUUUAGUUUCCGGUCGAUAGCGAUAUAUUUUCAAGUGUUCAUUCUUGCCUGCUGUAGGGCGGUUCAGAGCCAAGCUGGUUGAAAAUCAAGUAAAACUCAAUGCAGGAGGGCUUGAAGCAAAUUUUCUAUAUCUUCAACUUUCUCAAACAUUAUGUAUGACAAUCUAAAUUGAAAACUUGACGUGAGGCUUGAUUGAUCUGUAACUAGACUCACGACUUGGUGUUUACUGACUUCAAACUCAUUUGUAUCUUUGUUGAGAACUUCAAAGAAUGAAAAGUUUCUGUGACUGAACACAUGUACACAUUGCCCAAUUACAAAUUCAGCAUGUAGAUAAAAGAGUCAUAUUGAACAUUCCAUUCCUACAAUAAUUUCAGGCUGAAUGUCUAAUGCCCUUGCAGCUCAUACCUCUUCUCCUUCAACACAACACAGACAUUCAGUAACAACUCAAAAAGGGAUUAGAUAUUGAAAGAGUUAACUCUGAAAACAGCGAAACUAAUCAAACUAGUAGAAUUCAUGAUUUAAAUUCUUAUUGCUUUUUUAUUCAUGGUUUUUGGUGAACCUGGACAUACCUAUGCCCGUUUAAAACUUUAUUUUAUGCUUUUCCAGAACAUGGGUGCAAUAUGAGGUAUUUAUUUAUAUUUAUAUAUUUCUUAUUAUUAAGUGGUUGCAUUAUUGUGUGUGUCAUUUUUAUAUUAGAAUUCGAUUUUGUCUUGUUGAUAUAGUUUCUCAAAAUGGGUUAUCAAAUGACUGGCUUUCAAACUAGAUAUUUAUUGUUUCUAAUAGAUAAUGCCAACUUUAGUUCCAUUGUGAACAGGAAUAACUAUACAAUUUGAAGAGCCUUCUUUAGAAUGCUAAUAUUAGAACCUACUGUUGAAUGUUUUAAUUGGAUAUUUGAAUGUAUUAUAUUUUUACUGAAUUGCUUUCUUUUAUCGCAAAAGAACCAUUUUUGUGGACAUUACGAUACGGCUAUGACAUAUAUCAAAUUUUUUGGCAUGAAUCUUUUGGUUGUGCCAUUUAUAUUAACAGUACUUUAUGGUCUAAAAAUUUUUCCAAAAUAAACAUUUUUAUUCUGCA
This is a non-coding RNA of Styela clava, 1286 nucleotides long. NCBI's taxonomy places the organism in Eukaryota, Metazoa, Chordata, Ascidiacea, Stolidobranchia, Styelidae. The record is from RefSeq and is a predicted model, not a curated record.